GCGGGAAGAGCUCAAAUUUGAAAUCUAGUAGCCUUCGGCUGCUCGAGUUGUAAUCUAGAGAAGUGUUUUCCGUGCCGGCCCAUGUACAAGUCCCUUGGAACAGGGCGUCAUAGAGGGUGAGAAUCCCGUCCUUGACAUGGACCCCCGGUGCUCUGUGAUACACUUUCAACGAGUCGAGUUGUUUGGGAAUGCAGCUCAAAAUGGGUGGUGAAUUCCAUCUAAAGCUAAAUAUUGGCGAGAGACCGAUAGCGAACAAGUACCGUGAGGGAAAGAUGAAAAGCACUUUGGAAAGAGAGUUAAACAGUACGUGAAAUUGUUGAAAGGGAAACGAUUGAAGUCAGUCAUGCUCUUUGGUAUUUAUAUCAUUGAGUGGGGUCAACAUCAGUUUUGAUCGAUGGAUAAAGGCACUAGGAAGGUAGCACUCUCGGGUGAACUUAUAGCCUAGCGUCAUAUACAUUGAUUGGGACUGAGGAACGCAGCAUGCCUUUAUGGCCGGGAUUCGUCCACGUACAUGCUUAGGAUGUUGACAUAAUGGCUUUAAACGACCCGUCUUGAAA
RNAcentral lists this ribosomal RNA (557 nucleotides) under Naganishia liquefaciens. RNAcentral's name for it is "eukaryotic LSU rRNA". It matches the Rfam family "Eukaryotic large subunit ribosomal RNA", at positions 98 to 659 of the family's 3401-position model. Lineage: Eukaryota; Fungi; Basidiomycota; Tremellomycetes; Filobasidiales; Filobasidiaceae. The record is from RNAcentral.